UGCCGGAGGACCAGGUGCCACCUUGAGAGAGGCCGUGGGCGGCGAGCCGCGGGCGUUUACUCUUAGCAGAAGCUCACCUCUGGAUGGAGGGGAAGCCAAGGACCUAGAGGAGGAUGAAGCCAUGAAGUGGAAGCCAAGGAACCUCUGCAUGAGACUGUGAUGAGAAUGCAGACCAUGGAGAAGCAGGAAUAUAUCUGUCAAAGCAGCUAGUGUUACUCUUCUAAAGGGAAUUUCAAAAAAUGUUUGAAGACAACUCAGGAAGCCAUAAAAAGUCUUUAAGAUCCCAAGCCACAGCUGUGUAUAGCACUUUCUAACUGUAAAGGUCACACUUGGGCUGACUGGGGGUGGGUGAUCCUCCGGCAAGAGGGGGAAUGAGCACAGGUUCUCUCCUAAAAUCCCCGCUGAAAUGACUCAUAGAAUAUACAAAUUGCUGGGGAAAAGUCCACAUUCAAGCUGGAAAUGUUGGGUACCAUUCAAAUACCAAAAAUGUUGGAGAUUUUGAGAUUCCACCAUAGCACUGAUGUGUGACUAUUACACAAUAACAAUGACUCAUGGAUGAGAUCAUGAAGUGAUAUUCCUUUAUUGCCCAAUAGGUCAUUAAAUUUGCUUCAUGGG
This is a long non-coding RNA of Nomascus leucogenys (northern white-cheeked gibbon), 615 nucleotides long. RefSeq lists it as uncharacterized. The transcript has 2 exons. NCBI's taxonomy places the organism in Eukaryota, Metazoa, Chordata, Mammalia, Primates, Hylobatidae. The record is from RefSeq and is a predicted model, not a curated record.